Molecule: long non-coding RNA, 326 nt
Organism: Numida meleagris (helmeted guineafowl)
Lineage: Eukaryota; Metazoa; Chordata; Aves; Galliformes; Numididae
Source: Ensembl
CAUUUUACUUGAACAACCCUUUCUUCUGAUGCCCAUUUCCCAGGCCGCUGGAUAGCACACACCAAUAAAUAAAGAGAAGUCUCCAAAUAAGACAUAAAAGAGCUCUUCCACUUCCAAAGUCCCAGCAGCAACCUUCCCAUUGCCAGAGCUCCAUUAACUGCCAUUUCCUAAUCCGUAAUGGAAUGAGGAGCACGACCAAAGCUGCUUUUCCUCUGAAACACAAGGUCCUUACAGACUGGGUGGAGACUACGCUUCAGAGCCAUCAGCUUCCUCUGAAACUUCUGGGUCUAGCAGGCAGCUGCACCAGCAGCAUUGCCCUGUCCAGG